Long non-coding RNA from Astatotilapia calliptera (eastern happy), 1374 nucleotides. The record is from Ensembl. Lineage: Eukaryota; Metazoa; Chordata; Actinopteri; Cichliformes; Cichlidae.
ACACAUAAUUCUUUUUCUGUUUCCUCAGAUGUUCAUGAAAGUGAAGAGCAAACUGAAGCUCCUUCAGUUGAUGCCACUGGGUCACCAGAUGUCAGCGAUGAAGGUGUUGCCAUGACUGACAGCGAUGAAGAGACUGCAGAGUCUGUGCCCGAAAACAGCGCCGACACCAGCACGGAGUCUGAGCCAGCACCUAAUGGUGACAAAGAAGAUGGGGGGGAGGCAUUGAGUGAUGAAGAGCAGGAAGUGAAGGAGAAGGGAGAUGAAACGAGUGAAAAAGAUACCAGUGAGGAGGAGGAGGGGGGGGAGGUGGUGCCUAUCAUAGAAGAGGACAGCAAAGAGGAAACUCCAGCUGAAGAAGACAGCCAAAUGAAUAACAGUGAGAUUGAAGACAUGGUGGAGAUAGAGGAGAAAGAGGCUGAGGAGGAAGAAACAGAAGAGGAGAAUGAGGAGGAGUUCAAAGAAGUGGAGGAGGAGAAGGAGGAAAAAGAGAACGAUAAUCAGGAUGAGCUAGGGGAGGAUAAGCAGGAUGAGCUAGGGGAGGAGAAAGAGGAGGAGGAUGAGCUAGAGGAGGAUAAGGAGGAGGACGAGCCAGAGGAGGAGGAGCUAGAGAAGGAAAAUGAAGAGAAAGAGCAAGAUGGGGAUAAAGAGGAGGAUGAGGCAGAAGAGGAGAAGGAAGAGUUAGAUAAUGAAAAGGAAGAGAAAGAGGAAGAUACGGAUGAGAAGGAGGAGCAGCGGGAGGAACUGGAGGAAGGAAAUGAGGAGGAGCAAGAGAUAAAGGAGGAGGAAGAGGAGGAGGAGGAUUUCAAGGAUGAAUCUGAAAAUGCAGAUACUGAAGAACCUGAUGAAAUUGAUGAUGGUCUGGACUCCACUGAAGCAACACCUGCUGGUGAACUGGACCAAUCAGAUGAUGCCACCCCCGUCACCAAACAGGCUACCAGUUAGAUGCUUCGCCUCUGAGCUGUGGGAGCUCAGCAACUGCAGAGCCAAGCCCACAGCCUCCACAGUGGAAUCCAGCUGCCAUGACUUCAACAACCUAAACUGCAUGAAUUUCAACGUUCAGCCAACUGUUGUUUCCUCUCCCCAUUUUCUAGCAGUGUCUGUUUUAACCUCUGGCUUCUUUGGUUUUCUCAGAUUAAAAAAGGAAAUGUCUUUCACCUGCUGACUGUCUUCUUUUCUGCCAUGUGUCUCUCUUUCCAGCUUCUUGUCUGCAGAAAUAUUAAAUCAGCUGCUGAGCUCAGAUCUGUUUUGUGUGUCUGAUUUCACACAUUAACAUGUACAUAAGUCCCUCUUUAAUUUACAGAGAAUGUUUUUAAGGACGUGAAAAACCAGUCAGUGGUGUAUACAGAGGAACUGCUAAUAAAGUUUGAAUUGUCG